AAAAACAAAGCGAUUUUAUUGCAUUCAGUUUCGACCUGAACUUAGAUUAAUUCUGUUUUUA
RNAcentral lists this transfer RNA (61 nucleotides) under Haemaphysalis bispinosa. RNAcentral's name for it is "tRNA-Arg". The record is from RNAcentral. Lineage: Eukaryota; Metazoa; Arthropoda; Arachnida; Ixodida; Ixodidae.